CUUAGAAUUUUUUUUUCAUUUGAAUUCUGUUUUUGAUGUUUAUUAAUUAUUUUAUUGAGUGCUAAAAUACUAAAGAACGGUGGAAGAUAUACGACUUCUUCAUAAUACAACAUUUUACACGUGGAAUGGCAAAUUGAAUGUUUGAAUUUAGAUGCGAUAAAAAGAAGAAAAAAACUUGAUUUAUGCAUUGCCUACGAGUGGCUGAAAAACACUUGUAGCAGAAAUUCUUAUGCUAAAAGAACUCAUAGUUUGUGAACGUAAUGUUAUAUUUAUUUUGAAAUAUAUUGCACUAGUCCAAGAAAAGGUGCAAUCUUUAUGUCCAUUUGGCCUUAACUUGGAAUUCAAUGUUGAAGAAUAUGUUGGUGGCAAAGGGAAACAUCUCCAAUUCAUCGUAAACGUUAAUCAUCAACAUAUGUAUGCACUCUAGAGAGAGGAGCUGGACUGUUUCAUUGUAUGCUGGCUGAUAAUGGUCAGUUAAGUGGACGGAGGGUUGGAAUGAUUGUUGUUGAUGAAUUGCAUCUUCUCGCCGAACAAAAAAGGGGAGCUUUGUUAGAUGCAACUAUUACAAAAGUUUUAGACUCCCAGCAGUCCAAGCAUAAUAUUCCGAUAAUAGGUAUGUCAGCUACAACUGGAAAUAUGCAAGAAAUAGGUGACUUUUUAAAUGCUCACGUAUGCACAAGAGAUUUUAGACCUGUAAAGCUCACAGAAACUAUAAAAUUAAACGAACAAAUAUUUGUGAUAAAUAAAGAUGUUGAUGGUUCUUUGAAAAGUAAACUUGAUAGAAAAUUAGAUUUUGACUUUUCAGCCUGUCCUUAUACAUGUAUAUGGAAACCGAAAAUGCAGAGUUCAAUAUGGAAAGUGCAAACGUUGUGCACAUACCAACCGAUCCUCAACACACCUUGGGCUCAACUGUGUCGGAUACAGAGUCAACACAAGUAGAGGGAGUUCCAUACCGUUAAGCAGUUGGGAGUCUGUUGUAUUUGAGUCAAAUAACGAGACCCGAUAUAACAUUUGCUGUUAAUUUGGUCGGCCGUUAUCUAGAAAAACCUCAAAAAAGUGAUGCAGAUUAUGCUGGUGACGUAACCACAAGGAGAUCUACAUCAGGAUCAGCGUUCUGUGUUGGCAAGGGAUUAGUUGCAUGGAGCUCACGGAGACAGAAAUCAGUGUCACUUUCUACUACAGAGUAUAUUGCACUAAGCCAAUUCGUACAGGACCUUACCUGGUUAAUGCUAUUAAUGAGUGAUCUUCUGGAAACACAGGAAGUUAAACCAAUUAUAUAUGCAGAUAACCAGAGUGCUAUACGCCUUGUUAAAAACCCAGAAUUUCAUAAAAGAUCAAAGCAAAUCGAUGUAAGGUAUCAUUACAUCAGGGAAUCAAUA
Molecule: RNA transcript, 1379 nt
Organism: Acyrthosiphon pisum (pea aphid)
Lineage: Eukaryota; Metazoa; Arthropoda; Insecta; Hemiptera; Aphididae
Gene name: protein ALP1-like
Exons: 6
Source: RefSeq, a predicted model, not a curated record